UAUUGGUCAAUGGACGCGAGUCUGAACCAGCCAAGCAGCGUGAAGGUUGACCGCCCUAUGGGCUGUAAACUUCCUUUAUAUGGGAAUAAAGGUUUCCACGUGUGGAAUUUUGUAUGUACCAUAUGAAUAAGCAUCGGCUAACUGCGUGCCAGCAGCCGCGGUAAUACGGAGGAUCCGAGCGUUAUCCGGAUUUAUUGGGUUUAAAGGGAGCGUAGGUGGACAGUUAAGUCAGUUGUGAAAGUUUGCGGCUCAACCGUAAAAUUGCAGUUGAUACUGGCUGUCUUGAGUACAGUAGAGGUGGGCGGAAUUCGUGGUGUAGCGGUGAAAUGCUUAGAUAUCACGAAGAACUCCGAUUGCGAAGGCAGCUCACUGGACUGCAACUGACACUGAUGCUCGAAAGUGUGGGUAUCAAACA
RNAcentral lists this ribosomal RNA (415 nucleotides) under uncultured bacterium. RNAcentral's name for it is "bacterial SSU rRNA". It matches the Rfam family "Bacterial small subunit ribosomal RNA", at positions 362 to 774 of the family's 1533-position model. The record is from RNAcentral.